This 253-nucleotide ribosomal RNA is filed under the name uncultured bacterium. Its description in RNAcentral is "partial 16S ribosomal RNA". It matches the Rfam family "Bacterial small subunit ribosomal RNA", at positions 524 to 776 of the family's 1533-position model. The record is from RNAcentral.
UACAGAGGUCCCAAGCGUUGUUCGGAUUCACUGGGCGUAAAGGGUGCGUAGGUGGCGGGGUAAGUUUGAUGUGAAAUCUCCGGGCUUAACCCGGAAACUGCAUUGAAUACUAUUCUGCUCGAGGUUUGGAGGGGCAACCGGAAUUCCCAGUGUAGCGGUGAAAUGCGUAGAUAUUGGGAAGAACACCUGAGGCGAAGGCGGGUUGCUGGGCUGAUACUGACGCUGAGGCGCGAAAGCCAGGGGAGCAAACGGG